UACGAAGGGGGCUAGCGUUGUUCGGAAUCACUGGGCGUAAAGGGCGCGUAGGCGGCCGAUCAAGUCGGGGGUGAAAGCCUGUGGCUCAACCACAGAAUUGCCUUCGAUACUGUUUGGCUUGAGACCGGAAGAGGUAAGUGGAACUGCGAGUGUAGAGGUGAAAUUCGUAGAUAUUCGCAAGAACACCAGUGGCGAAGGCGGCUUACUGGUCCGGUUCUGACGCUGAGGCGCGGAAGCGUGGGGAGCAAACAGG
This 253-nucleotide ribosomal RNA is filed under the name uncultured bacterium. Its description in RNAcentral is "partial 16S ribosomal RNA". It matches the Rfam family "Bacterial small subunit ribosomal RNA", at positions 524 to 776 of the family's 1533-position model. The record is from RNAcentral.